Molecule: unclassified non-coding RNA, 349 nt
Filed under: soil metagenome
Description: partial contains 5.8S ribosomal RNA, internal transcribed spacer 2, and large subunit ribosomal RNA
Rfam family: 5.8S ribosomal RNA (bases 1-119)
Source: RNAcentral
GAUGAAGAACGCAGCGAAAUGCGAUAAGUAAUGCGAAUUGCAGAAUCCGUGAGUCAUCGAAUCUUUGAACUCACAUUGCGCCCUCUGGUAUUCCGGAGGGCAUGCCUGUUCGAGCGUCAUUAUCACCCCUCAAGCCCGGCUUGUUGUUGGAUGCAGCGCUUAUCCCGCUCCUCCCAAAGAUAAUGAUGGCGUCUGCGACGACUCCUGUACACUGAGCUUUCGGGCACGUACACGGCUAGAAGUCCAGACCCGGUCGCCGUCCCCCCCGCGGGGACACCCAUUACCACAAGGUUGACCUCGGAUCAGGUAGGAAUACCCGCUGAACUUAAGCAUAUCAAUAAGCGGAGGA